AUUCAUCCAUCCUCUUGUAAGUCGAUUGCCUCAGGCAUCGCCAUCUACCUGUAAGUCGAUUGCCUCCGGCAUCGCCAUCAUCAAAACUUAACAGAACCAACACGCAUUCAUCCAUCCUCUUGUAAGUCGAUUGCCUCAGGCAUCGCCAUCUACCUGUAAGUCGAUUGCCUCCGGCAUCGCCAUCUACCCUUAUCCGUAACUCCUCUUUGCGCUCCAUCCGUCG
Molecule: long non-coding RNA, 223 nt
Filed under: Lathyrus oleraceus (garden pea)
Lineage: Eukaryota; Viridiplantae; Streptophyta; Magnoliopsida; Fabales; Fabaceae
Description: Pisum sativum (pea) long non-coding RNA (PSAT_LNC033469)
Source: RNAcentral